UACAGAGGGUGCGAGCGUUGUCCGGAAUCACUGGGCGUAAAGGGCGCGUAGGCGGCUUGAUAAGCGUGCGGUGAAAGCCCGGGGCUCAACCCGGGUCGGCCGUGCGAAACUGUCGAGCUGGAGCACUGUAGAGGCAGGUGGAAUUCCGGGUGUAGCGGUGGAAUGCGAGAGAUCCGGAAGAACACCGGUGGCGAAGGCGGUUAGCUGGGGCAGUUGCUGACCACUGAGGCGCGCAGCGUGGGGGAGCAAACAGGG
This 255-nucleotide ribosomal RNA is filed under the name uncultured bacterium. Its description in RNAcentral is "partial 16S ribosomal RNA". It matches the Rfam family "Bacterial small subunit ribosomal RNA", at positions 524 to 777 of the family's 1533-position model. The record is from RNAcentral.